AUAUCAAUAAGCGGAGGAAAAGAAACCAACAGGGAUUGCCUCAGUAACGGCGAGUGAAGCGGCAAAAGCUCAAAUUUGAAAUCUAGCACCUUCGGUGUUCGAGUUGUAAUUUGAAGAUGGUAACCUUGGGUUUGGCUCUUGUCUAUGUUCCUUGGAACAGGACGUCAUAGAGGGUGAGAAUCCCGUCUGAUGAGAUGCCCAUUCCUAUGUAAGGUGCUAUCGAAGAGUCGAGUUGUUUGGGAAUGCAGCUCUAAGUGGGUGGUAAAUUCCAUCUAAAGCUAAAUAUUGGCGAGAGACCGAUAGCGAACAAGUACAGUGAUGGAAAGAUGAAAAGAACUUUGAAAAGAGAGUGAAAAAGUACGUGAAAUUGUUGAAAGGGAAGGGCAUUAGAUCAGACUUGGUGUUUUACGAUUAUCUUCUCUUCUUGAGUUGUGCACUCGUAUUUCACUGGGCCAGCAUCGAUUCGGAUGGUAAGAUAAUGACAGUUGAACGUGGCUCCAUUCGUGGAGUGUUAUAGCUUCUGUUGAUAUUGCCUGUCUGGAUCGAGGGCUGCGUCUUUUGACUAGGAUGCUGGCGUAAUGAUCUAAUGCCGCCCGUCUU
This is a ribosomal RNA of 600 nucleotides. It matches the Rfam family "Eukaryotic large subunit ribosomal RNA", at positions 40 to 655 of the family's 3401-position model.